RNAcentral lists this ribosomal RNA (495 nucleotides) under Prevotella melaninogenica. RNAcentral's name for it is "bacterial SSU rRNA". It matches the Rfam family "Bacterial small subunit ribosomal RNA", at positions 20 to 502 of the family's 1533-position model. Lineage: Bacteria; Pseudomonadati; Bacteroidota; Bacteroidia; Bacteroidales; Prevotellaceae. The record is from RNAcentral.
UGGCUCAGGAUGAACGCUAGCUACAGGCUUAACACAUGCAAGUCGAGGGGAAACGGCAUUGAGUGCUUGCACUCUUUGGACGUCGACCGGCGCACGGGUGAGUAACGCGUAUCCAACCUUCCCAUUACUGUGGGAUAACCUGCCGAAAGGCAGACUAAUACCGCAUAGUCUUCGAUGACGGCAUCAGAUUUGAAGUAAAGAUUUAUCGGUAAUGGAUGGGGAUGCGUCUGAUUAGCUUGUUGGCGGGGUAACGGCCCACCAAGGCAACGAUCAGUAGGGGUUCUGAGAGGAAGGUCCCCCACAUUGGAACUGAGACACGGUCCAAACUCCUACGGGAGGCAGCAGUGAGGAAUAUUGGUCAAUGGACGGAAGUCUGAACCAGCCAAGUAGCGUGCAGGAUGACGGCCCUAUGGGUUGUAAACUGCUUUUGUAUGGGGAUAAAGUUAGGGACGUGUCCCUAUUUGCAGGUACCAUACGAAUAAGGACCGGCUAAUU